RNAcentral lists this small RNA (441 nucleotides) under Prosuberites sp. QM G333227. Its description in RNAcentral is "partial large subunit ribosomal RNA". RNAcentral also lists the same sequence under 2 other names. The record is from RNAcentral. Lineage: Eukaryota; Metazoa; Porifera; Demospongiae; Agelasida; Hymerhabdiidae.
CAAAAAGACCGCGAAACCGUUAGGAGGGAAACGAAUGCAGCCAAAGUGGCUCUCAUUCAGGCUCAGGAGUUGUCGGUGUGCAGUGCCGGGCUGUUGGAUGCCGAAGGGUACGGCAGUCAGGAUACAGCGUGCCGAACACUCUGCACUCCUGAUGAGAGUCGGCCAACAGCAGUUACCUCUGACUCGAAAGGGUUGUCGGGCAGGUAGCUUCUUGGUUUACCAGGAAGAACUUAUAGCCAUCAGCCUGGCAGUUGGGGGUGACUGAGGAGUGUUGUGACUUUUCACACCAGCAGUGCAGGCUCCCUAGGGGCCGGGUCGCUUCUGUCCGUGUGGGCAAUGCUUCAGGGACUGCGUGCAGUGUCAGAAGACAUGUGUGUGCUCGGAUGGGAGGUUGGCCACGCCUUGCACUGAAGUUGUUGGUACCUGGAUGGUUUCAUUUGA